AACAACAAAGGCCAUUGCCUUUUAAGUUUUAAUUUAUUAUUUGCCUAUAAAAAACAGCUUGAACUGCAAAUAAAAAAAUUCACUCCUUACAAGCUAAUAUGCAAAAAUUAAUAUAACAUAAGUGGCACAAAGGAAUUGCCAAAGGGAUGUAUGAUGCCCAUUUCCGGAUGCUCUCUUGAUCGGCUUAUUCGAGCUCUUGGGAAAGAUAGGAUCUGACACCUGCAUUAGCAACGUCUCCCCAAAGGCACCAUAGAAUUAAAUCUCCAAGAUCACGUGCAAUUAACUACAAUUGUUUAUAGUCGACAUUAGUUUUUAACCAGAAAUAAAUCAACAAGAGAACCAGCUGCAAUAUAAUUACAAAUCCAUUCAACUACAAAUAGUCAAUUAUCAACUAUGUCGAUUAAAUAUAAUUGAAAGUAUUAAACAAAAACUAAUGACACAUAUAUGUUCUUUAAUAAACCCUGCAAAUAAUGGGCGAUAGAGACGAAGGUGAUUGAUAUUCAUUCAGAGAAAGCAUUUAACAGGUCGGAAUGGCAUUUACCUUCGAUCCCGAUGAUCUUUUUUC
RNAcentral lists this long non-coding RNA (565 nucleotides) under Nicotiana tabacum (common tobacco). RNAcentral's name for it is "long non-coding RNA (NTAB_LNC002933)". Lineage: Eukaryota; Viridiplantae; Streptophyta; Magnoliopsida; Solanales; Solanaceae. The record is from RNAcentral.